UUCAUUGCAGGAAGUGGAAGAAUGGUUGGAAAGUAGAAUGUCUGAAAAAAUUGAGUCCAAGAUGAUGGAGCUGGCGGGUUCUAUUCAAAAAUCUCUAAGUGAUUCACUCAAAUUGACAAUGGAAGAAUUGUUGAAGAAUAACUCUGAUGGCAUGGAAGAUUUUGGAAGAUCUAGAACUGCCCCUGUAGGUGAGAAACGUAAUCAUACAAAUUACUCUUGUGGCACUCGUUUGUCUAAAAUUGAUUUCCCUCGUUUCAAUGGCGAUAAUGUGAAGUAAUAAAUUUAUCAAUGUGAAACAUACUUUUUGAUUGAUGGCACACCAGAGGAGGUGAAAGUGAAGCUAGUUGUGGUUCAUUUUGAAGGAAGAGCUUUACAAUGAAAGUGUGCUUGUCAAGAGGAACAUUUUGGAAAGCUCUCUUUAUAUGUCAUGGUUUUGAUGAGGACAACCGGUGCUUAUAAGAGCUUGAAGAUCAUCAACAAAUCAAUGUGCUUAAGUCUUUAAUUGGUACUAGGCUUAGACUAGAAUCUAGUUUAAGUUGAGUCAAGGCUUAGGGCACCAAAUACAUGCCUCAUAUGCAUACAUCUUUUUAAAUCAUUUCAUCCUUGAGAUAUGUCAUUCAUAAUAUGUUCAUGCAUUACAUAAAUACAUGUAUAUGUGCAUUCUAGGCAUAAACUAAGUGUUAAACAUGUAUUAACUAAGUGCAUAACGUAUUUGAUGUUUUGUAUUUAAAAAUACACAUUUAAAUUGCUGUUAAUCGAUUAACCAAUCCUUUAAUCGAUUAACCCAACUACUUUGUAAAGUGGUUGCUACUGGAACACGUUUUUAAAAUGCUGUUAAUCGAUUAAGGCAUUACGUUAAUCGAUUAACCUAACUGUUUGUUAAGUUGUUGUAACUGAAAACUUGAAAAACAGAAUCAGUUAACAUUUUGAAUCACGUUAAUCGAUUAAGAUGGCAGUUAAUCGAUUAUCUGGACUUCUGGACUGAUUCUUUAUAAACUGCGUUUUCAAAAUUAAUCUCAUAAGUUGCAUGUUGCAUUUAUUAGAGAGUUAGAGCAUUCUGCGUGUUAAUUGUUGCAUCUAUUUGUUAAAUGCAUUUGUGAGUUUAGAAAUGAGAGAUUCUAUGCUUUAGGAUUGAGUGCAUUUCAUGUUAUAAUCUCUCAUGUUUUCCCUCACAUGUUCAUGCAUAUUUUGAUGCUUUUUCAUGAAGUUUUAUGAUUCUGUAACUUCUGUUUUCAUAACUAAUACUUGUCAUUUCACAUGAAUUUGUAUUAGAUGUGCAUUAGAGUAAAGCCUUCUUGUUAUAUUUGAGCUUAGAAAUAGCUUUAUUUUACUCUUGUAAUUGUUGUGUAAUUGUUGUAAAGGGAAUCUCGUGGUGUCUUAUCAACGUUAGAGAUUGAGUGUUUCUUCAUUGCUUAGAGUGUAAGAAAAGGAAAGAACGAGAGAUUCUUUGGCUGGGGCUACGCCGAAAGAAACGUUUUCUUUGUCGGUAGGAAGGGAGUCAAACCAUUGAAUGGUUUCUUUGUUUUCUUGUAAUUUGCUAAGUGUUGUAAUUGAAUAAUGUGUAUGUAAUUACAUUGAUUCGGUUAUAGUGAAGGCUGUUAUUCGUUCCAUUAUCAGUUAAUUGUUGUGCAAUUAAUCGUUUAUGUAAUAGCUUACUGUUUUCUAUUUAAUCGAUUAAAACUGUUGCGUUAAUCGAUUAUCCUUGUUCUGUUAAUCGAUUAAGUGUGUUCUGUUAAUCGAUUAUCUUCAUCCUAUAAUCGAUUAAUUAGGGGUGAUUCAGCAUUAAGUGUUGAGUUUCGAAAAGCGGCUAUUCUAACCGCGACACCUAUUCAACCCUCCCCCUUCUAGGUGUAUUGUAACCACUGAUACCUAACAAGUGGUAUCAGAGCUAGUACGAAGUGCUAGCUCAACCGCGUAUUCGUGAUCCUAAAGGGAAAAGGAAUGGGUUCUUCAAAUCCAUUUGGUGGUGAUGGGUCAUCCAUUAAUCGACCACCAAUAUUCAGUGGUGAAGGGUAUGCCUACUGGAAAGUGCGCAUGCAAAUUUUUAUUGAGGCCAUAGACUCGGAUAUUUGGGAAUCCGUAGUCAACGGCCCUUACGUUCCACAACAUCUUGUGGACGAUCAACCUAAAGAUAAACCGAAAAGUUUAUGGACCGAUGAUGAGCGCAAAAAGGUCCAGCAUAACCUGCGCGCCAAAAACAUCAUCACAUCGGCCCUAUCAUAUGAUGAAUUCUUUAGGGUCUCGCAGUGCCAUAAUGCGAAAGAAAUGUGGGACACUUUACAAGUGACUCACGAAGGCACUAGCGAAGUCAAGCGCGCAAGACUGAACGCGCUGACCCACGAAUAUGAGUUGUUUCGCAUGUUACCAAGCGAAUCAAUAUGUGAUAUGCAAAAGCGAUUCACUCAUAUUGUCAACCAUUUAGUUGCUCUCGAUAAAUCAUUUGCUAGAGGUGAACUAACUAAUAAAGUUUUGCGUUGUCUUGACAGGAGAUGGCAACCAAAGGUGACUGCAAUUGUUGAGUCUAAAGA
RNAcentral lists this long non-coding RNA (2528 nucleotides) under Lupinus angustifolius (narrow-leaved blue lupine). RNAcentral's name for it is "long non-coding RNA (LANG_LNC002113)". Lineage: Eukaryota; Viridiplantae; Streptophyta; Magnoliopsida; Fabales; Fabaceae. The record is from RNAcentral.